CGCGUAGGCGGCGGGUCAAGUCGAGUGUGAAAGCCCCGGGCUCAACCUGGGAAUUGCGCUCGAGACUGGUCUGCUUGAGUUCGGGAGAGGAGAGUGGAAUUCCCAGUGUAGAGGUGAAAUUCGUAGAUAUUGGGAAGAACACCGGUGGCGAAGGCGGCUCUCUGGACCGAGACUGACGUUGAGGCGCGAAAGCGUGGGGAGCAAACA
This 207-nucleotide ribosomal RNA is filed under the name uncultured bacterium. RNAcentral's name for it is "partial 16S ribosomal RNA". It matches the Rfam family "Bacterial small subunit ribosomal RNA", at positions 568 to 774 of the family's 1533-position model. The record is from RNAcentral.